CUUCGGUGAUGAUACGAUGACGAGUCGGAACAGGACCCGGUCCAGUUCUGGUGGUUUCUGGUUCAGAGUCACGUUCUGUGGUUCUGCUCCGGCCCAUCAGAACCGCUGGGUCCAUUUCACUUGAAGACAUUGAGGCAUUUGUCUGAGAAGG
This is a small nucleolar RNA of Cololabis saira (Pacific saury), 151 nucleotides long. The record is from RefSeq and is a predicted model, not a curated record. Lineage: Eukaryota; Metazoa; Chordata; Actinopteri; Beloniformes; Belonidae.